AGCAGUCGUCAAAGGCCUGAACCCACAAGCCUCAUUACACCUUGACUUAUUCCGAGCACCAGACCUAAAUGGGAUAGUUUUGUUUUCCGGCUUUUUUGUUUUUCGGUGUGAGUUUGUGAGCUUGUAACCGUUCGAAAUUUUGUGCUUUAAGUUUUUGUUGGACAAGUCGCUGCCAUGUUUCACCAUGAAUUCGAACGAGAUCAGUGCAUCAUCGAGGAAUACCAAAGACGCCCCAAAAACGAUGUCCUCCAAUGGUAGUGGUGCGGUGGACGGCGUAAGUCCUUGUCAUCUGGCCGCAACUGCGGUUGUUUCCACUGCCAGAGGAGGCGUCAGAGAAACGAGCAGAGGACAUAAGGCUAUCCGUGUAUUUUUGGAUCACCACGGUGGUUAGGAAAUCGCGUUGCUCUAAAACUCGCUAAUCCUGGCCACUGCAAAAAUUAACUUUUCGAUGAACACAUUUUUGGGAGCUAUUAUUGGAUUCAGAUUAUAAUAGCUCUCAUAUGCUGGGAUACCCAACACUGGGAUAUCCUACACUGGGUAACCUAUACUUUGGUACCCUAUACCUUGGUACCCUAUAAUUUGGUACCCUAUAGUUGGAUACCCUUCACUUGGAUGCCCUACACUUGGAUACCAUACACUUGGAUACCCUACCCUUGGAUACCCUACCCUUGGAUACCCCAAAGCUUGGAUACCCCAAAGCUUGGAUACCCCAAAUAUGGAUAACGAUUGACUAGGAUUCGAAAUAUAUAGGAUAGGUUUCUAGGAUUAACUUGGAUACCCCAUAUUUGACUGUUAUUAGGACGGCUGUUCCCAAACUCAAGAAUGAAUAGAUUAUUUAAAACGUCAAUCUACGUUGAUUAAUUAAAGACUUUAAUAAGCGUC
This 882-nucleotide long non-coding RNA is filed under the name Drosophila melanogaster (fruit fly). RNAcentral describes it as "long non-coding RNA:CR9284 (Dmel_CR9284)". Lineage: Eukaryota; Metazoa; Arthropoda; Insecta; Diptera; Drosophilidae. The record is from RNAcentral.